This 274-nucleotide ribosomal RNA is filed under the name uncultured bacterium. Its description in RNAcentral is "partial 16S ribosomal RNA". It matches the Rfam family "Bacterial small subunit ribosomal RNA", at positions 523 to 796 of the family's 1533-position model. The record is from RNAcentral.
AUACGGAGGGGGCAAGCGUUGUUCGGAAUUAUUGGGCGUAAAGGGCACGUAGGCGGUCAAGUAAGUUGGUGGUGAAAGCCCUCGGCUCAACCGAGGAAUUGCCCCCAAAACUGCUAGACUUGAGUCCCGGAGAGGGUGGCGGAAUUCCCAGUGUAGCGGUGAAAUGCGUAGAUAUUGGGAGGAACACCAGUGGCGAAGGCGGUCACCUGGACGGGUACUGACGCUGAGGUGCGAAAGCGUGGGGAGCAAACAGGAUUAGAAACCCGGGUAGUCC